UGUGUUUGUGUGCAUAAUAGGGGAUCUACUGAGUGUGGGGGAUCUAGAGGCUGCUGUAUGUGUGUGAGGACGAUACGGUCUGCAGUGUUAUCGUCCUACUGCUCACAUUCCAGGAGCACUCCGCAGGAGAGAAUGCAGGAAGUGAUGUCACUUCCUCUCCCCGCCUCUUCCUUUCACGCUGAGCGCCAUAUAGGUGAUCAUAGAGGAGAUCUGGCAGGAACACCAGGACUGAUA
This is a non-coding RNA of Pelobates cultripes (western spadefoot toad), 234 nucleotides long. The record is from the annotation of a GenBank genome assembly. Lineage: Eukaryota; Metazoa; Chordata; Amphibia; Anura; Pelobatidae.